AUAACAUGGUUUCAUAGAAUGUUCCUCUCAGGGGGCUGAAUGCAGCUACUGCUCCAUACAGAAAAAAAUAUCUGUCCUUUGGGUGAGGGCAGAAGGAGGGUGUCUGCUUUCAUCGCAUGCUGCUUUUCAGAUGCAGGUUGGGAACCAACUGAAGGAUUUCUCCAAACAAGUGGAAUUUAGAAGAUUUCUCCCAAACCCUCCAAAGACAAGGGCUGCAUUUCCAUGGAAAUACUCACUGGAAUGUCAUGGGGAGGAAAGUCCAAACUCCUUUAAGCACAAAUGUGAAACUCUGACAGGCACAAUCAGCCCUUCCAAAUAACAAGGGACAAAGUUGGCCUUUAUAGCAAUGUACAAAUAUAUAGAAUUAUGACUUUC
This is a long non-coding RNA of Mauremys mutica (yellowpond turtle), 375 nucleotides long. RefSeq lists it as uncharacterized. The record is from RefSeq and is a predicted model, not a curated record. The transcript is spliced from 3 exons. Lineage: Eukaryota; Metazoa; Chordata; Testudines; Geoemydidae.